This 484-nucleotide ribosomal RNA is filed under the name uncultured bacterium. RNAcentral's name for it is "partial 16S ribosomal RNA". It matches the Rfam family "Bacterial small subunit ribosomal RNA", at positions 30 to 507 of the family's 1533-position model. The record is from RNAcentral.
AUUGAACGCUGGCGGCAGGCCUAACACAUGCAAGUCGAGCGGAUGAAGGGAGCUUGCUCCUGGAUUCAGCGGCGGACGGGUGAGUAAUGCCUAGGAAUCUGCCUGGUAGUGGGGGAUAACGUCCGGAAACGGGCGCUAAUACCGCAUACGUCCUGAGGGAGAAAGUGGGGGAUCUUCGGACCUCACGCUAUCAGAUGAGCCUAGGUCGGAUUAGCUAGUUGGUGGGGUAAAGGCCUACCAAGGCGACGAUCCGUAACUGGUCUGAGAGGAUGAUCAGUCACACUGGAACUGAGACACGGUCAAGACUACUACGGGAGGCAGCAGUGGGGAAUAUUGGACAAUGGGCGAAAGCCUGAUCCAGCCAUGCCGCGUGUGUGAAGAAGGUCUUCGGAUUGUAAAGAACUUUAAGUUGGGAGGAAGGGCAGUAAGUUAAUACCUUGCUGUUUUGACGUUACCAACAGAAUAAGCACCGGCUAACUUCGUG